CCAGGCAUGUAGUAUGAUCAGAAUUUGCCAAUGAAAUGUCCAGAGCCAGUAUGGUGGCAAAAAGGCCUUGGCACUAGGUUAAAAUUGAUGCCCAACUAUAACAUGAGUCGCAAAUCAGAAUGUGCAUAACAUAAUGAACAUCUUAUGCCACUUGCAGCUUCAUUCUAUCUGCUUCAUCAGCAUCAGCGAGCUAAAAAUUUAAAAUAUUACUGGGGUAACACUUUACAUGAACUUAUUACAAAACAUGAUACUAGCAUAUAUCACAUAAGCAAAAACAAAACAUAGAUUUUUCAUAAUAUAUCAUUGUUUAAUUGGAGAUUAGUUUUGUUUAAAUCAUGCAUUUAGAAGAAUCAUAUUGGACAUGAUCCAGUCUGGAUGCCAAGACAGCAGGUCACCUUACUUUAAUUCAGGAAGUCGACUUUUUUUUCUCUCAGAGUAUGUGGGAGAGGAGAACUACCAAGUUUGAAGCAUUUCAACAAACUCUUCAUGUAGAACGUGCAAGGUAGUACAAUAAAAUAUCCUUUGUGGUUCAUCAGCUUCAUCUGAAAUGCCACAUGAUGACUGUGGCAGAGUGACAGCCUUCAACUAUAAUUAAAUUGACACCCACAUGUUAAAUAUGUAGAGAAUACACUAAAGUUGCCUCUCAAGGUAUAGCAUUUGACUCGAACUCCAACAUAAUACAGGUUAAGUGAUAGGCAUAACAAGGAAAAGGAUUUCAUAAUUUAAAAGGUUGACAACAAAUCCUCAUAAUUAAGCCAGAUGAAUCACUUCAGUUUAGGUUCAAGGAACUUUGAUCAGGUUGCCGAAAUAGAAAAUCUAAACAAUGUAUAAUUAUGUUAACAAUACAUACUAACAUUCAAAAGCUAGUUUUGAUCAUGUUUAAAUCUAGUUCUAAUCAUACAGGAAAGAUAACAAACAUUACAAAUGGAAUUCUGGCAAAAAGAAUGUAGAACCAGAACAUGUGCAAAAACAGGUUUCUCUACUCAACAUGAUCAGGUUUCCAAAAUGCUCACAAUCGCAUAUUACUCAUCUGAAUUGUCUUCAAGAGUUUUGUUCAACAACUUGCAAUUGUAAAUAUGGUCUUUAACAUGGCAUGGAGCCACAAAUAAAAUAGUAGUAAAAACUAAAAACCAUACUGAAUGGUUUAAGAUAAAAGAUUUUAGUAGCAUAAAAGGAAUUAGCCUUCGUGGAAUGCUUGAUCUAAUGGUCUUUGACAACGAUACUACUAACAUACCAAGUCUGAACCACAUAAUGGAUUACUAUACUAGAAAAUAUAAGACACUCAAAGCAAUUAAGAUUGCGGAUGAGCAGAGCAUCCACUGUAAAGUGGUGUUUAAUAAAUGAUUUUAAUUGCAUGGUUCUUGGCCCAUCAGAAGCAUUUUGGUUUCAGAAAUUUCAUUUAUUUGGCAAUUUUCACAUUUUUCAGUUAUUUAAAAUUACUUCAGCUUAUAUGGUUUCAGUUCAUCCUAAUUAAAAUCAAUGAUUUUUGCAAGCAAGCAAUAAAAACAUGAUGCCAGAUCUUUUUCCUUAGAUUAACAGGAAAAAAAAAUCAGAAUAAUCAGGAUUACUACAGCAUCUUCAUCGGUUCAUAUAUAGGUAUUGGUGGCUUUGGGCAAAAGAUGAACAAUUAUGAAAAUCGGAUGGAGUUUUUCAACUGUAACAGGAAAAUUGAGGUCAAUGUAUCAGCCUUAACCUGCCAAGCUGUUAUCAAACAUAACACCCUACUUCUGUGUGUACACUCCACUACAAUAAAUCAUCUAUCAAUCUGAUUAAACAUACCUCUUGCUCCAGCUUGAAGAGAUGGCGAUUGAAAUGCUGCUGCAAUCUUUCAUUAGCAUAAUUGAUGCAAAAUUGUUCAAAACUAUUCUUCUGCAAGAACAUAAUGUACUAUGAGUUCAGCUGAAUCAGUAAGCAGAAGCUGUACAACAAGUUAGAAGUUCAUUACAUCGAAGGAUUCAAAACCAUAAAUAUCAAGAAUACUGAUUGAUCUGCCAGUGCGACGCUUUCCUAUUCCAAGUGAUUUAUUGAUCUGUUCUACAAGCCAUUCAAACAGACUAGCAUAUAAUGAUUUUGCCAGUGCAUCUCUUGUAUCAAUUGCCUACAUAAUAGAAAGAGAAGCAAAUGAGUCACCCAUAGUUGAAAAUGUCACUUCAAAGAGAGGAGUACAACAAACCUGCGAAAGCGUAAGCUUCUGGACAAUGUUAUCAUUUCCAACCUUCAUCUUCCGUGUUGACAAGGCUAACUUGAGUUCAGAAAGUGUGCAUCCGAUGAGCUUAGCAACCGUUUGGGCACCUAAAUCAACAUUCAUUGUUAUCAAAAAAGAAAGAAAAAUGUCACACCAUAAGUAACAAAACUUAACAUUACACUUAUCAGAGGCUUCAACAGAUGGUGCGAGAAGAAAAAUUGAAGUUUCUGCAGAAGACUACUGAACCCAUUUAUUGCUAAAUAUUACUUAGAUUGAUACUUAUGUAGAUAAAUAACUAGAUAUUAAGAGUUGAAAAAGCUGCAGAAAAGAGAACAAAUUUAGGAAGAAGAAAGCAUAAAAUAGCAAUAAAUUCACAUUAUGCCUGAUUGCCUGUAUCUCAGAAAAUGUAAAUUUAUAUAAAAAGUUUCGUAAUAAAACAAUAACUCCUCAUAAAUGAUAUCUCAAAUUAAUUAGCAUGGUAAUAAGAUUGGAAGAAAAAAAGUAAAUAACGUCAGAGUUUUCCUUAAUUCUAAGAAGAGAAAUAGCAAUAGAAUAACAUUA
RNAcentral lists this long non-coding RNA (2746 nucleotides) under Musa acuminata (dwarf banana). Its description in RNAcentral is "long non-coding RNA (MACU_LNC000046)". Lineage: Eukaryota; Viridiplantae; Streptophyta; Magnoliopsida; Zingiberales; Musaceae. The record is from RNAcentral.